GCCCUUGCGGCGUGCUAUACAUGCAGUCGAACGAGUUCUCGUUGAUGAUCGGUGCUUGCACCGAGAUUCAACAUGGAACGAGUGGCGGACGGGUGAGUAACACGUGGGUAACCUGCCCUUAAGUGGGGGAUAACAUUUGGAAACAGAUGCUAAUACCGCAUAGAUCCAAGAACCGCAUGGUUCUUGGCUGAAAGAUGGCGUAAGCUAUCGCUUUUGGAUGGACCCGCGGCGUAUUAGCUAGUUGGUGAGGUAAUGGCUCACCAAGGCGAUGAUACGUAGCCGAACUGAGAGGUUGAUCGGCCACAUUGGGACUGAGACACGGCCCAAACUCCUACGGGAGGCAGCAGUAGGGAAUCUUCCACAAUGGACGCAAGUCUGAUGGAGCAACGCCGCGUGAGUGAAGAAGGCUUUCGGGUCGUAAAACUCUGUUGUUGGAGAAGAAUGGUCGGCAGAGUAACUGUUGUCGGCGUGACGGUAUCCAACCAGAAAGCCACGGCUAACUACGUGCCAGCAGCCGCGGUAAUACGUAGGUGGCAAGCGUUAUCCGGAUUUAUUGGGCGUAAAGCGAGCGCAGGCGGUUUUUUAAGUCUGAUGUGAAAGCCCUCGGCUUAACCGAGGAAGCGCAUCGGAAACUGGGAAACUUGAGUGCAGAAGAGGACAGUGGAACUCCAUGUGUAGCGGUGAAAUGCGUAGAUAUAUGGAAGAACACCAGUGGCGAAGGCGGCUGUCUGGUCUGUAACUGACGCUGAGGCUCGAAAGCAUGGGUAGCGAACAGGAUUAGAUACCCUGGUAGUCCAUGCCGUAAACGAUGAAUGCUAGGUGUUGGAGGGUUUCCGCCCUUCAGUGCCGCAGCUAACGCAUUAAGCAUUCCGCCUGGGGAGUACGACCGCAAGGUUGAAACUCAAAGGAAUUGACGGGGGCCCGCACAAGCGGUGGAGCAUGUGGUUUAAUUCGAAGCAACGCGAAGAACCUUACCAGGUCUUGACAUCUUUUGAUCACCUGAGAGAUCAGGUUUCCCCUUCGGGGGCAAAAUGACAGGUGGUGCAUGGUUGUCGUCAGCUCGUGUCGUGAGAUGUUGGGUUAAGUCCCGCAACGAGCGCAACCCUUAUGACUAGUUGCCAGCAUUUAGUUGGGCACUCUAGUAAGACUGCCGGUGACAAACCGGAGGAAGGUGGGGAUGACGUCAAAUCAUCAUGCCCCUUAUGACCUGGGCUACACACGUGCUACAAUGGAUGGUACAACGAGUUGCGAGACCGCGAGGUCAAGCUAAUCUCUUAAAGCCAUUCUCAGUUCGGACUGUAGGCUGCAACUCGCCUACACGAAGUCGGAAUCGCUAGUAAUCGCGGAUCAGCACGCCGCGGUGAAUACGUUCCCGGGCCUUGUACACACCGCCCGUCACACCAUGAGAGUUUGUAACACCCGAAGCCGGUGGCGUAACCCUUUUAGGGAGCGAGCCGUCUAAGGUGGACAAAAAUG
This 1476-nucleotide ribosomal RNA is filed under the name Lacticaseibacillus paracasei. RNAcentral describes it as "bacterial SSU rRNA". It matches the Rfam family "Bacterial small subunit ribosomal RNA". Lineage: Bacteria; Bacillati; Bacillota; Bacilli; Lactobacillales; Lactobacillaceae. The record is from RNAcentral.